UACAGAGGUCCCGAGCGUUGUUCGGAUUCACUGGGCGUAAAGGGUGCGUAGGUGGCUGGAAAAGUUUGAUGUGAAAGCCCCGGGCUUAACCUGGGAAUGGCAUUGGAAACUGGCGGGCUUGAGUGUGGCAGAGGGGGGUGGAAUUCCGCGUGUAGCAGUGAAAUGCGUAGAGAUGCGGAGGAACACCGAUGGCGAAGGCAGCCCCCUGGGCUAACACUGACGCUCAGGCACGAAAGCGUGGGGAGCAAACAGG
Molecule: ribosomal RNA, 253 nt
Filed under: uncultured bacterium
Lineage: Bacteria
Description: partial 16S ribosomal RNA
Rfam family: Bacterial small subunit ribosomal RNA
Source: RNAcentral